This is a small nuclear RNA of Talpa occidentalis (Iberian mole), 108 nucleotides long. Lineage: Eukaryota; Metazoa; Chordata; Mammalia; Eulipotyphla; Talpidae. The record is from RefSeq and is a predicted model, not a curated record.
AUGCUUGCUUUGGCAGCAUAUAUACCAAAAAUUGUAAAAAUAGAGAGAAGAUUUGAGUGACCCCUGCACAAGGAUGGCACACAAAUUCACAAAACAUUCCAUACUAAA